This is a long non-coding RNA of Siniperca chuatsi (mandarin fish), 2089 nucleotides long. RefSeq lists it as uncharacterized. Lineage: Eukaryota; Metazoa; Chordata; Actinopteri; Centrarchiformes; Sinipercidae. The transcript has 3 exons. The record is from RefSeq and is a predicted model, not a curated record.
ACCUCAAGAAUGUCUUUUGUCUGCCUGCCUGUCUCUCCUCCUCUCAGAGGGAUGAGAGGAGGAGAGGGGCAGCAGACACACACAUGCUCUGAGGGGCUGUGGGAUUCAGCAUUCCAUUUACAUUGUUUUAUUACCAGCCAUGAUAAAUGAAUUGUUGUGUAGAUGCAUAUUCACAUUUCCUGUUUAAUUAGCCUUCAAAGAGUCUAAACGCACAUUGAAAUAUGUCAUUAUAGUUGAAAGAAGGACUUACACUAAUGAAACUAUCAAAAUCUGCACAUUGAAAUAGACUUUGCAUUCUUCCUAUAACAUUAAUUAAACAUGGUAUAUCAAUUAAUGUACAUUUGAUUCAUAUCAGGGUAAAACAACAUCUUCUACCAGUCUGUAUAAGCAGAAAUGUGUCUCUACCUCCUCUAAGUUCACAGCCCAUUGAUUUUGGCUUACAUGCUGGGACGUGGGGGUUAUUAGAUCUGUUGUGUCAGUCGUAAAAUGGGGCAAUAGUCACUUAACGUCCCUUUGAUGUCAUCCUAGUGAGUCCUGCAACCUAGUGUGACUGAUCAGAUUAGUUUGGCUCCAAGCAGUCAUAAAUAUAGUAAAAUUGUCAUUCAGUGCGCUUGAGUCCGGCAAAGGUCAUGGGACAGCGGAGGUUCCUGGUGGAAAGCUUAUAAGUUCUCUGAACAGGGCUUGUUUAUGACUUAGAGGCAAACUUUCAGAAAAAUCUAAUGCUUUUUAUAAAUAAGGAUGCCAAAUGUUCAUCCAAAUCUGUGUUGGUCACGCCACAGCAUGUAUAGCAAGUAUCAAGGGCAGCGAGUAUGUAUGAGAGCUAGUAUCAGCAGCAACCGAUUCAAGUCGAGAAUGCAGGUUUGUCCUACUGAAUGGUCUCAGGAGCAAGCGCAGCUUGGUUAGCCCAGAGGGGAAAACAUGUAUUAGUCAGUCACCACCUGUAAUGCUUAAAGCAAGUUAACUUUGUCACACAGUACUCAAGUAAGUUUGUAACACUAUUUAAGGUUGUAAUACUUCCAGUUAUAUGCAGUUAGUUUAGUAAUAUAUAAAAGCCGAGUAGGCCUUUUUUCCACAUUAAGCCAGUUAAAUUUAGCAUUUUUAUCCCCCAGAAUGGAGCUUUUUCAAAACGGCCUCCAGAAUGUGUAAAUCUUAAAAUGAUGAAAUAAGUAGCCCAGUUAGGGUUGGGGGUUGUGUUCCAGUAAAGCUAAGAAGAUAACCUUUGGUUGCUUCUAACUUUCUCUGUGAUUGUCCAUUUUAAAUGUCAGUACAGCCGAGUGCACAGGACAGCUGUUGUCAUUAACCUGGAUUUAUGUUAAUUUUGACAGACGACGCAGUGCGGCAUCUUGGGAAUGACUGCUAGUUAACAGGUAGUAUUUAUGGGCUGCAAUUGUUCUAUUUCAUACUCAUUCAGUUGCCUCAAGAAACAGAAAAAUGUGUAAAUAAGAACAACUAUAAGGUGAAUUUGGCUGUAGUAAAACAGAUUAGAUGACCACAGAGCAGAAGGAGUCUGAAAAGGUGCAAUGGGCUGACACUUGGUAGAGUAACCGGCUGUGUACGAACUCUCGUCACAGAGUGCGUGGCAGCAAAGUGAACAACUUAGCAAAGACACCUUUCUGUCAUUAACUUUUUCUGUGUUCAUGCAUUUUAAAUGUCAAUAUAACCGAUGACUAACCUGUAUUUAUGUUGAUUUUGUCAAGGCGACGUUGCGACCAUAAAAUAAUGAUUUGGACAGUCUGCCAUAUUAAUCAACUGUUGUCAAUCAAAGAAAGAGGAUAUAUGGAUAUAUUACAGUAAUACUAGUGAAAUUUGUUCUGGCUACUAGUGCCACUACUGAGGGUUCCACUGCUGAGCAGCACUCCAGUCAAUGAGUGAGGAAGACGUCCUGUGCCAUCUUUGAUUUUACAUGAUCUCAACGGGGUAGCCAAGCUGCAAAGGAUCCAUGGUUUCUUUGCCAUUCUGGAAGUGGCUAACAUUAAAGUGAUUCCAAAAAAUUAAACAAUUGCACCCAAGAAGCCAAGGGCUGUGACAACAGUAGUGCCCUGAAUUCACACAGUAAGGGGAGAUGCACAGUGGUGUUGAACACAAAAAG